RNAcentral lists this microRNA precursor (62 nucleotides) under Bombyx mori (domestic silkworm). Its description in RNAcentral is "mir-2774 microRNA precursor family". It matches the Rfam family "mir-2774 microRNA precursor family". The record is from Rfam by way of RNAcentral. Lineage: Eukaryota; Metazoa; Arthropoda; Insecta; Lepidoptera; Bombycidae.
ACAACAUUCAGACCGUCGGUCUACCGAGCAAUAUCACCUGCUUGGUUUAAGAUCUUCGUCAA